Molecule: ribosomal RNA, 429 nt
Filed under: uncultured bacterium
Lineage: Bacteria
Description: bacterial SSU rRNA
Rfam family: Bacterial small subunit ribosomal RNA
Source: RNAcentral
UGGGGAAUAUUGGACAAUGGGCGCAAGCCUGAUCCAGCAAUGCCGCGUGUGUGAAGAAGGCCUGCGGGUUGUAAAGCACUUUCAGCGGGGAAGAAAAGCCCGAAGCUAAUACCCUCGGGUCUUGACGUUACUCGCAGAAGAAGCACCGGCUAACUCCGUGCCAGCAGCCGCGGUAAUACGGAGGGUGCAAGCGUUAAUCGGAAUCACUGGGCGUAAAGCGCGCGUAGGCGGCCAGGUAAGUCAGAUGUGAAAGCCCCGGGCUCAACCUGGGAACCGCAUUUGAUACUGCCGGGCUCGAGUCCGAGAGAGGGGGGUGGAAUUCCAGGUGUAGCGGUGAAAUGCGUAGAUAUCUGGAGGAACACCGGUGGCGAAGGCGGCCCCCUGGCUCGAGACUGACGCUGAGGUGCGAAAGCGUGGGGAGCAAACAGG